CUCGCCAGUGGGCGUGGCAGUCGCUGGGCGGCUGCGAAGGCUGCGGAGGCCGAGGACAUAAAACUGAAGUCGGACCCAGAAAGUGGAGGCCAGCUGUAAGGAAGUCAGUCGGUCGGCUGGCAAAUGCGAAUGCAAAUGCAAAUGCAAUUGUAAAUCUGGAAAAGCCACAAGGAGCUGCUGGACGUGGAGAUGCUGAUGCAGAUGCAGACCUGCCGACUUGGCCAAAAGUGCAUUUCACGCUGGCUAAUGAAACAAAUUAUAAGUGGCCACUGUCGUCGGACUUUUGCGGAAAACAAACCGAACAACCGAAACCAUAUUUACGCACUUAUAUUUGGCUACUUCGAUUUUUGCACAACUUUCACUUUUCUGCCCCACUGUGCCGCUGCAGUUCGUCAAUUCGCCAUUCACACACGAUUUAGCGUAGUCGCCCCGGGGUUUAAGAGGUCGGCGACGAGGGACAUGGCUCGGUAUUGGUAUCUCGGAAGCGGGGGACACUCAUGUGAUGAAUUUGCCGCCAAGGCGCCGCCGCCACUGACGCUUGGGUGGUCAAAAUGGGGCUGGGCGCAACUCCUGCGGCUUAAAUGCUUGCCCCAAACAGUACGUUUCGUUUUUGUAUCCAUUUGGUAACCAUUCGAUUCCACGGUCGCGACUGGCGAACGACUAAAUUAUUCAUUGCAGGAUUUAUGCCGCCGCCGGCCUGCAAUCACUUUCGCUCAUGCUCAAGCUCAAGACUCAAGACCGCCCCAAAAAAUCAUGAGCUGCUAGCCAGUCAACUGGCCAAAAUUGUUGGCCCUCCAGUUGUUUGUUUUGAGCCGCAGAGCAGAGCUCGGGCAAACAUUUGCCACAAUUAAUGCACAUGACGCCGCUUAAACUUUGGCUUGACAAAUGGAGUCAGUCGCCUAACCCCCAGGAAUUUGGGUCCACUCUAAAAGCCGGGCU
RNA transcript from Drosophila teissieri, 939 nucleotides. RefSeq lists it as uncharacterized. The record is from RefSeq and is a predicted model, not a curated record. The transcript has 3 exons. NCBI's taxonomy places the organism in Eukaryota, Metazoa, Arthropoda, Insecta, Diptera, Drosophilidae.